GACGAACGCUGGCGGCGGGCUUAACACAUGCAAGUCGAACGGAAAGGCCCUGCUUGUGUGGGGUGCUCGAGUGGCGAACGGGUGAGUAACACGUGAGUAACCUGCCCUUGACUUUGGGAUAACAUCAGGAAACUGGGGUUAAGACCGGAUAGGAUCUCCUGUUGCAUGGUGGGGGUUGGAAAUUUUCGGCUGGCGGGGAUGGACGCGCGGCUGAUGAGCUAGUUGGUGGGGUAGUGGCUUACCAAGGCUUUGACGGGUAGCCGGCCGGUGAGGGUGACCGGCCACAUUGGGACUGAGAUACGGCCCAGACUCCUACGGGAGGCAGCAGUGGGGAAUAUUGCACAAUGGGCGGAAGCCUGAUGCAGCAACGCCGCGUGCGGGAUGACGGCCUUCGGGUUGUAAACCGCUUUCGCCUGUGACGAAGCGUGAGUGACGGUAAUGGGUAAAGAAGCACCGGCUAACUACGUG
RNAcentral lists this ribosomal RNA (468 nucleotides) under uncultured bacterium. RNAcentral's name for it is "partial 16S ribosomal RNA". It matches the Rfam family "Bacterial small subunit ribosomal RNA", at positions 28 to 507 of the family's 1533-position model. The record is from RNAcentral.